RNAcentral lists this ribosomal RNA (429 nucleotides) under uncultured bacterium. RNAcentral describes it as "bacterial SSU rRNA". It matches the Rfam family "Bacterial small subunit ribosomal RNA", at positions 267 to 714 of the family's 1533-position model. The record is from RNAcentral.
ACCAAGGCGACGAUCUUUAGCUGGUCUGAGAGGAUGGCCAGCCACAUCGGGACUGAGACACGGCCCGGACUCCUACGGGAGGCAGCAGUCGGAAUAUUGGACAAUGGGCGCAAGCCUGAUCCAGCAAUACCGCGUGUGUGAAGAAGGCCUGCGGGUUGUAAAGCACUUUCAGUUGGGAAGAUAAUGACGUUACCAACAGAAGAAGCACCGGCUAACUCCGUGCCAGCAGCCGCGGUAAUACGGAGGGUGCAAGCGUUAAUCGGAAUUACUGGGCGUAAAGCGUGCGUAGGCGGCCUGUUAAGUCAGAUGUGAAAGCCCCGGGCUUAACCUGGGAACUGCAUCUGAUACUGGGAGGCUAGAAUGUGGGAGAGGAGAGUGGAAUUUCCGGUGUAGCGGUGAAAUGCAUAGAGAUCGGAAGGAACACCAGUG